This 616-nucleotide ribosomal RNA is filed under the name uncultured Chlorophyta. RNAcentral describes it as "eukaryotic LSU rRNA". The stretch from base 212 to 365 matches the Rfam family "5.8S ribosomal RNA". Lineage: Eukaryota; Viridiplantae; Chlorophyta. The record is from RNAcentral.
GUACCUUAAUGUAGUCCUCCAAUGGACCNGCAGGGACGAUUGGCGUUGCUAGCCCAGCAGUCCACAGUAUGGGUCAUACUGCUGAGCCGGUAGCGGGUNACCGCACUGCCGAUCAAUUGGCGGGGUUUUCCCCACUGACNUCUUCACCCAAACUCAAAAUCAAUUAACUAAAGCUAUUGCAAUCGGCUUUGCCGACUGCUAUUAACUGACAAACUCUCAACAACGGAUAUCUUGGCUCCCGGAACGAUUAAGAACGCAGCGAAAUGCGAUACGUAGUGUGAAUUGCAGAAUUCCGUGAACCAUCGAAUCUUUGAACGCAAAUUGCGCUCGAGGCNUCGGCCAAGAGCAUGUCUGUCUCAGCGUCGGCUAACCCCCCUCACUCCCUUCCCUUUGCUUUCAAAGGGGCNUGGGCAGUGGAUCUGGCCGUCCCGGUGAACAGCCGGGUCGACCGAAGCACAGAGGCUUGUGCUUGGACCCCUCAAAGGGCAACAACUUGGUAGGUGGCUUAACGCUGCAUACCGUUGGAGCCUUGGAGCCCAAGCCGUAUGGCCGGCAGGAAACCUCAAUCAUUCGACCUGAGAUCAGGCAAGAACACCCGCUGAACUUAAGCAUAUCA